Molecule: ribosomal RNA, 391 nt
Filed under: uncultured bacterium
Lineage: Bacteria
Description: bacterial SSU rRNA
Rfam family: Bacterial small subunit ribosomal RNA
Source: RNAcentral
ACGAACGCUGGCGGCGUGCUUAACACAUGCAAGUCGAGCGGUAAGGCCCUUUCGGGGGUACACGAGCGGCGAACGGGUGAGUAACACGUGGGUGACCUGCCCUCAGCUCUGGGAUAAGCCUGGGAAACUGGGUCUAAUACCGGAUAUGACUUCGCAUCGCAUGGUGUGGGGUGGAAAGUUUUUCGGCNGGGAUGGGCCCGCGGCCUAUCAGCUUGUUGGUGGGGUGAUGGCCUACCAAGGCGACGACGGGUAGCCGGCCUGAGAGGGCGACCGGCCACACUGGGACGUGAGACACGGCCCAGACUCCUACGGGAGGGCAGCAGUGGGGAAGUAUUGCGCAAUGGGCGGAAGCCUGACGCAGCGACGCCGCGUGGGGGAUGACGGCCGUUCG